This 3155-nucleotide long non-coding RNA is filed under the name Sus scrofa (pig). Its description in RNAcentral is "lncRNA (ENSSSCG00025072301.1)". Lineage: Eukaryota; Metazoa; Chordata; Mammalia; Artiodactyla; Suidae. The record is from RNAcentral.
AAGGGUUGCCGAUUUCCUCUUAUCGUUGCGUAUAUAGACAAGAUUAACUGAUGGCUUCACAAUCAGGCAGAGCUAGAUUCAAAUGCCUACUCGCCAACGCCCAGCUUGGGCUGGCUCCCGUUCUUUCUGUGUCUCGGUUUCCAUGUUUGUAAAAUGGUGAUAAUAAUAGUAUCUACCUCAGAGACGUGUGCCUCAGAGGCGUGUGCUGUAUAUUAGUGCGUAUAACUAACGAAUGCAAAGUAAUAUAAUAUAAUACGCUUAAUAACUUAAUAUGAAGCCUGACUCCGGAAGAUAUUAGCUGUUAUUAUGGAGAGAAAAAAACGCGUAAUAGAGAAAGAAAACAUAAAUUAUGUAAAGUCGUUCAUUAUAGUGUUUUUCCUGCCCAUCAUCUCCUCCCCUAGAAGAAAUUCGAGAUAUAAAAGAGACGUAUCAGUUUUUACCGAUGGAAUAGUUUAUUUGGGAAUUGCCUCAAAAUAGCGGGGAUUGGAAUUUUCCAUAUUGAAAAGUUUAAAAAAAAAGCGGCGGGGGGGAUGGGGGUGGGGAGAGAUGGAGAAUGAGCGAGCUGGAGAUGAACCACAUGCGAUGAGUAGGCCUUGUUUGGAUCCUGAUUCGGACACAUUAACUAUAUUUUUUUAAAAAACUGUUUAAGAUGCAUCGGGAUAUUUUGAAGUCGUAUUCAAAUUCGAUUUUUUGGGGGAAAUUGAUGACGAUGUUUUAGACGUUAAAAUGGUAUUGUGGUUAUGGUUUCAAAUUGUCUUUAGCUUGUAGCAAUAUAUAUGAAAAUACGGAUUAAAUAGUAAAAUGUCUGAGAUUGGCUUCAAAAUAUGUUGAUAUCUAUGAUUUGCUUCAAAAUAAUCUCAGCGGUAGGGGGACGUGGGGAGGGGUAUAGAUGAAACCAAAUUGGCCCUAAGUUAAUCGUUUAAGCUGAGUGAUGGGCAUAUAUGAUUUCUUAAAUUAUACUGGCUUUCUUGGUAUAUGUUUGAAAUUUUCCAUAAUAAAAUACAGAAAGUCAGCUAUUCACUGAGCUUGAAAAAAACGGAGUGGGGGGGGAGCAGUGGGUGGGGUUAUAGAUAAAACAAGAUGGCCUUCAGUUGGUAAUUGUUGAAGCUGGAGGAUAGAUUCGCAUAGGCUUAUAAUAUUAUUCCCUCUACAUUUUUAUCCAUUUGCAAUUAUCCUUAAUUAAAAUUUUUUAAAGGCAAAAACAAACUAGUUUAUCAGAAAUCAGGGUAAAUUAGUUUAUCAGAAAUAAGGUAAAUUUGAAAAUGUAACCAUAAGAAAGGAAAAAACACUUGUACGUUAUUUGUCAUCUUUGGUGUCCUUUGUGUGUGAAAAAAAUGCAUUGAUGGAGAAGAAAACCUUCAUCUCAUAUCUUUUUAUUUUGUGUCCUUUCCUGUCCCCUUGUUUGACCUUCUAGGCUACCAUCAAAAAAGCUAAGUUUGCUGUAUAGUAAGGAUCAGAAGAUCUGAUCCUGAUUGCAGAACAUUGCUGAUUACAGAAUCUUGGGUUGUGUCUCCCACCUCAUCUUUCCCUACCAUCCCAGAAGAUCUAUAAGGUUCCAUCUGGGAAAACACUAGAAGUUCUUGGAAGGGAAAGAAGGAAGAGGAUUACUGGUUGGAAUAAAAACAGGGUUGAAUGAGUUCCAGAAAGCAGGGUUCUCAAACUCGUGGACAACAAUCUGCAGAAGAAGACAACUUCAAAAAACCAACUAGAAGCAAUAUGCAGAGAAGUAAGAUGAGAGGAGCCUCCUCAGGAAAGAAGACCGCUGGUCCACAGCAGAAGAAUCUGGAAGCAGCACUCCCCGGCAGGUGGGGGGGUCGCUCUGCAGAGACCCCCCCUUCGGGGUCCGUGAGGAAGACCAGAAAGAACAAACAGAAGACCCCUGGAAAUGGAGAUGGUGGCAGUACCAGCGAAGCACCUCAGCCACCUCGGAAGAAAAGGGCCCGGGCUGACCCCACUGUGGAAAGUGAGGAGGCAUUUAAGAAUAGAAUGGAAGUGAAAGUGAAGAUUCCUGAAGAAUUAAAACCAUGGCUAGUUGAGGACUGGGACUUAGUUACCAGGCAGAAGCAGCUCUUUCAACUCCCUGCUAAGAAAAAUGUAGAUGCCAUUCUGGAAGAGUACGCAAAUUGCAAGAAAUCACAGGGAAAUGUUGAUAAUAAGGAGUAUGCGGUUAAUGAAGUUGUGGCAGGAAUAAAAGAGUAUUUCAAUGUGAUGUUGGGCACUCAGCUGCUCUAUAAAUUUGAGAGGCCCCAGUAUGCCGAAAUCCUCUUGGCUCACCCUGAUGCGCCCAUGUCCCAGGUUUAUGGGGCACCACACCUACUGAGAUUAUUUGUGAGAAUUGGAGCAAUGUUGGCAUAUACGCCCCUUGAUGAGAAGAGCCUUGCAUUAUUGUUGGGCUAUCUGCAUGAUUUCCUAAAAUACCUGGCAAAGAAUGCUGCGUCUCUGUUUACUGCCAGUGAUUAUAAAGUGGCUUCUGCUGAGUACCACCGCAAAGCCCUGUGAGGGUCUCCUGACCGCUCGCUGUUAUGUCUGGUAUCUGUAAACACUCUUUUUGUUCUUAGUCUUUUUCUUGUAUAAUUGAUGUUCUUUAAAAUUGUUCAUGUAUAACAGGGCUUAUGUUUCAGUUUGUUUUCUGUUUUAUUCUAAACAGAAAAUAAAAGGAGUGCAAGCUCCUUUUCUCAUUUCAAAGUUGCUACCAGUGUACACAGUAAUUAGACAAAGAAGAAACAUUCAGUAGAACAUUUUAUUGCCUAGUUGACAACAUUGCUUGAAUGCUGGUGGUUCUAUCCCUUUGACACUACACAAUUUUCUAAUAUGUGUUAAUGCUAUGUGGAAAAAUGCCCUGAUUCCUAGUGCCAAAGGUUCAACUUAAUGUAUAUACCUGAAAACCCAUGCAUUUGUGCUCUUUUUUUUUUAUGGUGCUUGAAGUAAAACAGCCCAUCCUCUGCAAGUCCAUCUCUGUUGUUCCUUAGGCAUUCUAUCUUUGCUCAAAUUGUUGAAGGAUGGUGGUUUGUUUCAUGGUUUUUGUAUUUGAGUCUAAUGCACGUUCUAACAUGAUAGGGGCAAUGCAUUAUUGUGUAGCCACGGUUUUCUGGAGAAGUUGAUAUUUUAGGAAUUGUAUUUCAGAUCUUAAAUAAAAUUUGUUUCUAAAUUUCAAA